AACCGAUGCAAACUCCGAAUACCAAAGAGUAAUGCACAGGAGACACACGGCGGGUGCUAACGUCCGUCGUGGAGAGGGAAACAACCCAGACCGCCAGCUAAGGUCCCAAAAUCUAUAUUAAGUGGGAAACGAAGUGGGAAGGCUUAGACAGCUAGGAUGUUGGCUUAGAAGCAGCCACCAUUUUAAAGAAAGCGUAAUAGCUCACUAGUCGAGUCGGCCUGCGCGGUAAGAUGUAACGGGGCUAAAAUAUAGUACCGAAGGCUGCGGCAUCAGGAGCAACAUUAAUGGUUUUACCGCUUAACCACGCACGAACGAAGAGAGUGCGUGGGUAAAGCAACCAAAACGUCGAGGAAUGAAACGGAAAGAAUCAUUAAUGUUGCUCCUGUUGGGUAGGGGAGCGUUGUGUAAGCGGAAGAAGGUGGUUCGAGAGGAUUGCUGGACGUAUCACAAGUGCGAAUGCUGACAUAAGUAACGAUUAAAAACGGGUGAAAAACCCGUUCGCCGGAAGACCAAGGGUUCCUGUCCAACGUUAAUCGGGGCAGGGUGAGUCGGCCCCUAAGGCGAGGCUGAAAAGCGUAGUCGAUGGGAAACGGGUUAAUAUUCCCGUACUUGGUAAAGCUGCGAUGUGGGGACGGAGAAGGUUAGGUUAUCGACCUGUUGGAUAUGGUCGUUUAAGUUGGUAGGUGGGUGAGUUAGGCAAAUCCGGCUCACCGUUAACACUGAGAGAUGAUGACGAGGCACUAAGGUGCUGAAGUAACUGAUACCACACUUCCAGGAAAAGCCACUAAGCUUCAGGCUUUACUAAACCGUACUGAAAACCGACACAGGUGGUCAGGUAGAGAAUACUCAGGCGCUUGAGAGAACUCGGGUGAAGGAACUAGGCAAAAUAGCACCGUAACUUCGGGAGAAGGUGCGCCGGCGUAGAUUGUAGUGACUUGCUCACGAAGGUUGAACCGGUCGAAGAUACCAGCUGGCUGCAACUGUUUAUUAAAAACACAGCACUCUGCAAACACGAAAGUGGACGUAUAGGGUGUGAUGCCUGCCCGGUGCUGGAAGGUUAAUUGAUGGUGUAAUCGAAAGAGAAGCUCCUGAUCGAAGCCCCAGUAAACGGCGGCCGUAACUAUAACGGUCCUAAGGUAGCGAAAUUCCUUGUCGGGUAAGUUCCGACCUGCACGAAUGGCAUAAUGAUGGCCAGGCUGUCUCCACCCGAGACUCAGUGAAAUUGAAAUCGCCGUGAAGAUGCGGUGUACCCGCGGCUAGACGGAAAGACCCCGUGAACCUUUACUAUAGCUUGACACUGAACCUUGAAUUUUGAUGUGUAGGAUAGGUGGGAGACUAUGAAGCGGUAACGCCAGUUAUCGUGGAGUCGUUGUUGAAAUACCACCCUUUAACGUUUGAUGUUCUAACGAAGCGCCUGAAACGGGUGUUCGGACAGUGUCUGGUGGGUAGUUUGACUGGGGCGGUCUCCUCCCAAAGCGUAACGGAGGAGCACGAAGGUUUGCUAAUGACGGUCGGACAUCGUCAGGUUAGUGCAAUGGUAUAAGCAAGCUUAACUGCGAGACAGACAAGUCGAGCAGGUGCGAAAGCAGGUCAUAGUGAUCCGGUGGUUCUGAAUGGAAGGGCCAUCGCUCAACGGAUAAAAGGUACUCCGGGGAUAACAGGCUGAUACCGCCCAAGAGUUCAUAUCGACGGCGGUGUUUGGCACCUCGAUGUCGGCUCAUCACAUCCUGGGGCUGAAGUAGGUCCCAAGGGUAUGGCUGUUCGCCAUUUAAAGUGGUACGCGAGCUGGGUUUAGAACGUCGUGAGACAGUUCGGUCCCUAUCUGCCGUGGGCGUUGGAGAAUUGAGAGGGGCUGCUCCUAGUACGAGAGGACCGGAGUGGACGCAUCACUGGUGUACCAGUUGUCUCGCCAGAGGCACAGCUGGGUAGCUAAAUGCGGAAGAGAUAAGUGCUGAAAGCAUCUAAGCACGAAACUUGCCUUAAGAUGAGUUCUCCCAGUCUAUAAGACUGUAAGGGUUGUUUGAGACUAAGACGUAGAUAGGCUGGGUGUGUAAGCGGUGUGAGCCGUUGAGCUAACCAGUACUAAUUGCCCGAGAGGCUUAACUAU
This 2107-nucleotide ribosomal RNA is filed under the name uncultured Avibacterium sp. Its description in RNAcentral is "23S ribosomal RNA". It matches the Rfam family "Bacterial large subunit ribosomal RNA", at positions 942 to 2925 of the family's 2925-position model. Lineage: Bacteria; Pseudomonadati; Pseudomonadota; Gammaproteobacteria; Pasteurellales; Pasteurellaceae. The record is from RNAcentral.